Molecule: ribosomal RNA, 484 nt
Filed under: uncultured bacterium
Lineage: Bacteria
Description: partial 16S ribosomal RNA
Rfam family: Bacterial small subunit ribosomal RNA
Source: RNAcentral
AUUGAACGCUGGCGGCAGGCCUAACACAUGCAAGUCGAGCGGAUGAAGGGAGCUUGCUCCUGGAUUCAGCGGCGGACGGGUGAGUAAUGCCUAGGAAUCUGCCUGGUAGUGGGGGAUAACGUCCGGAAACGGGCGCUAAUACCGCAUACGGCCUGAGGGAGAAAGUGGGGGAUCUUCGGACCUCACGCUAUCAGAUGAGCCUAGGUCGGAUUAGCUAGUUGGUGGGGUAAAGGCCUACCAAGGCGACGAUCCGUAACUGGUCUGAGAGGAUGAUCAGUCACACUGGAACUGAGACACGGUCCAGACUCCUACGGGAGGCAGCAGUGGGGAAUAUUGGACAAAGGGCGAAAGCCUGAUCCAGCCAUGCCGCGUGUGUGAAGAAGGUCUUCGGAUUGUAAAGCACUUUAAGUUGGGAGGAAGGGCAGUAAGUUAAUACCUUGCUGUUUUGACGUUACCAACAGAAUAAGCACCGGCUAACUUCGUG